This is a non-coding RNA of Cyanistes caeruleus (blue tit), 1973 nucleotides long. The record is from RefSeq and is a predicted model, not a curated record. NCBI's taxonomy places the organism in Eukaryota, Metazoa, Chordata, Aves, Passeriformes, Paridae.
UUCUGAACCAGAAUAAAUGAAAGGAAAAUAAAAUGCCAAAUGCCAUCCUUCUGCAAGGUUUUCAACAGGCUACACCAAACGUGUGUGCUUCCACAAACUACAACAUGCUUGCAGGAGCAGCUGUACUGAAAUGUUGACAUUGUAAUCCAGGGCACUUGUUGAGAAGGAGAAUGCUGUUCCUUGCUGUGCUGCCUUCCCACGCUGCAGCUGUAGGGAACCCAGAACCGCGUUUGCGACACGGAUGCUGCUGGAAUCACCGCGGAGGGAGCCAGAGACAAAGCCCGGAUUGGCAGCACAGAGGCUGAAUGCAGAUGUCCUUCUUUUUCUGCUUCCCUGGUACAUCACCAGAGACAGCACAUCACUACUGGUAAACUGCUUAAAAGGAAGCAAGCACCAUUUUUUAUGUCGUAUAAAUAUCUAUCUACACAUUUUCCAAAAAGGAUGGAGGUGCUGGGAUGCCUACGUGAUUUAUGCACUGUAUGAAAGUAGCACAAACAUGAUCAUUUACAACAGGCUUUAUUGACCAUCUGAAGGGGAAAGAUACCAAAUAUGGUUAACAGCAACUGUUAAGUGAAAUAAGUUAUAUUUCAUCUAUGUAAACAAAGUAAUGAUCAUGUCUGUCACAAGAUUUCAAGAGAUUUAUCUUCCAGGCUCCCUAAUAUGGUUACAUCUGUCUCCUGCUUAAAUCCUAUGUUCUUGCCAUCUGCUCCUAUGCACUUCUUUUCACCCUCAAGCAGUGAUUAAACAACUAUCUGGGAAAGAAAAAAAGUACUUUUCCAUUUUUGAGCCAAUGUUUAACAGCUGGAAAAAAACUGGAAAACCAAACCCACAAACCCUUUGGCUCUCAAUUGCUUUCCCUGGUUGGGAAUGUUACUAGUGAGAUGCUCAGCUGAAGCUUCCAGGAAUCUUUACAUCUCACUGUACAACAGGAAAUGCUGCACCUAUAGAUUCAAAUAGCUUUGUUAUGGAGUGUAAGAAAUUUGGAGCAGAUUGAACCACCAUUCAGUUAAUCAGUCAAAUUGUCAUUGGGAGGUAAUGUUAUAUAGGGAGAUCAGGAAGCAUUUUGCUUUGUAAAGAAGGAAACUUCCUAGAAUUCUUUAUUUGCACUGUGGGAAGCCUUGAUAGCUGUGUUCCUUUGAGAUGUGCUUUGUACUUACCUCUCCUUGUCCAAACAUGGAGGAGCAGGAAGGACAGAGCCCCAGCUCGCUCUCUUUUCUGUGUGAGGAGAACCAAAGAAGAGCAAUUCCACAGAUCCUGUGCUUCUGCCUUCUGGGCAAGACUGCAGCCUGAUGCUCCUCAUGUGGGCACAUUAAUUAGGGGAGCACCUUACAUCCAUCACCCUCUGUAGCCACAGAAUGGUCAGUCAUAAUCCAUCUCUUAGUGUUUAUUCGGAGCCUUGAAAUCCUUGAAAUGUAUUAGAGAUGCACUGAGGAUCUUGCUACAGGAGAGGCUUGAUGCAAUGACAAUACUGUCAUUUAAAAAAACUGCCUCAUCCCUUCUCUAGGAGUUUUGUCAAACUUUAUUUUAUUUUCUUGGGCUGUUGCUUUCUCCUAUGUAGAAGAAAUUAUGGAUAUCACCUAAUCAUUCCCUUGAGCUUCAUAGGAAGUAACUGGACUUGGUACCUCUGCUUUUCAGUCUUUGCUCCUUUGGCUGCUUUACUUUGCUGCUUCUGUCCCCUACCAUUAUAAUUGUUACUGCUUGCAAAGAUGGGAAACCAGAAUUGUUUGUACUGUUUGUAAAACACUGUGAAGUAUUUUCAGAAAUAAUGCAUAACAAGGCAAAUUUACCAUGGCUUUUUUAUCUUCAGGUAAUAAUCCUUGUCUGAAAAUCUAGGCCUAUCAUUUCUACUGGUAUAAAUAGGUGCAGCUCCACUAAAGGCCUUGCCUUUAAUGUACUGGGGGGGUUUGCUGUGAAGGAUACAGAGGGUCAGGCAGUUCAGCUUUAGAUUUAAUAAACACCAUUGCUUAAAUUAC